GAACAAAGCCGACCUCCUCGCCCCGCCCCCUCCGUCCCGCCCGGGCUGCUCGCCCCGCCCCCGCGCGGCGCUGGGAGGCGGGAGCUGUCUCUGAGAACCUGCGGGAGAGCGCCCGGGCUUGCUGCUUCCCGGACCCGCGCGUCUCUCGAGCACCCUCGUCCCACCACCUUGUGAGGCCGUAGUGUUAUUUUUAUUUUUUAGAUCAGCAGACUGAGACUCGAGGUGACGUCACUCCGCAGAGAGGUUAGCUGACUUGAAGAAAACGGGUAUCUCCUCUUUCCAUUUCGCCCGUGUAAACAGCCGAACUGCCUAUUAUAAAAGCAUGGACUGCCAGCAUUGGAGUGGUCCUUAGAGGCCUAUUAUGAAAUCAUAGAAUGUCUGCAUUGGAAUCGCCUCACCUCCUUUUACCGCUGGAGAAGCCGACGGACAGACGGGCAGCGACCCCCGCCGUCGCACAACCCGUCUAGGCAGAGAGCGCAGGAGACGGGAGGGCGGCAGGGACACAUCUCCCAGCCAAGGACCUCCUGGGCCCGCAGAGGCCGCGACAGGUUCCCCCCACAGAGGGAACCAACUCUGCCGCAGGUUGAUGUGGACUUCAAGCCUGCAGAACGGAGAGCCCAUUUCCAUUGCUUAAAGCCACCUCGUUAGAGCACAGCAGACUGAGCCACCCAGAACUGGCCCCUCCGGUGGACCAGCCCCUGCGGAUUCACAGACCACUGGUCCUGGAAGGGACCUUGUCAAGCAGGCCCAUAAGGUAAUCCCUCCCCGGAAAGAGAAGAUCACAGAUUUUGUCAUAUUAAAUACAUUGUAGAAAUUCAUGGUAGCAGGGGCAAGAUCAUUUAAACAAAACAGAAAGUUUCAGAGAGAGAAAAAGCCAAGGACAAAGAUUAAUCAUUUUUCUGCUUAAAAAAAAUGGCUUUGAUUUGCAACCAUGGAAUGCUCCACUGUUUCUCUUCUCUUCAAAGACAUCUACUGAAAGGAUUCCUUAACCUUACCAAGUGGCCAAAAUACUUUUCUGAGAAGAGUCACAGAGCAUAGGCCCCCCUAGGGUACACAGAGAUUUCAUUAGUCCCUAGAUGUUUCCUGAUCCUUUUAAAAACUGGUUAAAUUCAGAGACUCUAGGCAAUUACUUCUUUCAGAACCUGUGAGGCAAAAACGAAAGAAGAAGGCAGGACACGCAGUGUAACAAACCUUGGAAUGGACUUCGCCAGACUUCAUCAGAAGAAAGCAGUGCAAGAGGGGACUGCAGAGGAAAGCUGGGGCUUGGGAAACCAGCAGCAGGGGCCACGUGGGCAGGUGGUUUCUGUGUGAACCUCUGAUCUGUGCAACAUAAACAGGAAAUGUUGAAGGCUUCCAGUGCUCUUUUUUGAUGUCGAGAACAUUCUACGGCACAAAAGAGUUUGCCUCUCACUGUUUCUCAUAUAUGGAGGUUUUCUAAUCAGCAUCCUGAACAGAAUUGAAUUAAAAAUAAAAACCAAAGUAAAACUAGCUUUAUCUCUAGAUUUUAAAAUUUUCAUUUUUUUUAGGGUGGC
RNAcentral lists this long non-coding RNA (1532 nucleotides) under Homo sapiens (human). Its description in RNAcentral is "HSALNT0317454". The record is from RNAcentral. Lineage: Eukaryota; Metazoa; Chordata; Mammalia; Primates; Hominidae.